AGAAAGACGAAUAACGAGAAGGAUGCUAUGGAGCCGCAAAGUGCUUCGUUGACCUACCUAUGUGGAAUUGGCACUGUAAGUGAAAUUGUACAGUUUCAUCAUCGUACACGAGUAACCGGUCCAGUGUCCGAUCUCUUUCCAAUAAGACUUCAGACUUUCCUGCAGAUCCAAACUACCAAGGUUGGAUUCUGGAUGAGUAUGCCUGAUGAAGUACCGUAAAAGAUCAACCAGGAGCAGGAAGCAGGAUAAAUGAAACCGCGCUGGUAAGUUUUUAUUUUUGAUCGACUGAAAUGAAAACCCCGACCAGUAGGGACACGGCAGGUAUUUCCGUCCAUCGUCGUAGGGGCUAAAACCAACGAAAGCAACGUACAUUUGCUAGAACCCCACUAUAGCAGAACGUUUCUCCUGAGCUUACGAUUUGGCAAUUUUUGCUACAAAACAAAAUUGUCAGGAUCAUGCUUCGACCUACUAUUUGAUGGAGUCCGGUACAAGAGCAAUCUGGCGGAAUGGGAUUAACGGAAGUAGUUGCUAAGCAAUGGUAACAUGCGAGUAGUCGAAGAAUGCAGUCACGGCCUGAUCAGCAUCCUAUAGUCGUGUCAUCAAGGAAA
Long non-coding RNA from Armigeres subalbatus, 608 nucleotides. RefSeq lists it as uncharacterized. The transcript has 3 exons. The record is from RefSeq and is a predicted model, not a curated record. NCBI's taxonomy places the organism in Eukaryota, Metazoa, Arthropoda, Insecta, Diptera, Culicidae.